CUUCAAGACAUACAACUGCUUUUGUGCACAUGUUUUGUGAAGACUAAUCAUCCUCAUAGUCUAGUAUGCGAAUAGGCUUCUCAGCCAAACUUGAGACUCGUGUCCCGUGUCGGGGCUCGGCGGAUCCCUCGUCGAGAUAGUCAUAAACAGCAGAGUGGAUGGCUAAAGAUAAAUGAAAUGCACCAAAACAACGGUGAAAGAAAGGACUCACUCCCACAAAGCACUGGAUCUAGGAGUCCAUCGGAAUCUAACCUGGGUAUCAGGGUUUUGCUCGUACACUUGGAAAAGCUGCGGAUCAUUUCGGAAAUAUGAUUAGUCGAUGGCAAGGUCAAAUGCAAAUUAGUGAUCUUACCUUCUGCAAAAUAGCUUGGGCUUCAGACUGUUCAAAGCCCUUAAUACCAAUGGUGUAUCGAGAGUUGACGAAAAGAGCCUUCCAUCCAGUCGCUGGGUGGACUCGAACGAUAGGGUGGGCGUUGAUGAUGGGCUCAAGCUCGCCAGUCACCGGAUUGGGAUAGCUCAGGAGAAAGCUUAUCAUAAGCAGCAUAGCCCGAAGACCAGAGAGUGUCACCGCCAACUCCGGGAAGGUGGUCAAGGUGAAGAUGAGUGACUCCAGGGGGUUGAGGUUCAUAGUCUAGCUUACUCGGUGUGCCACUUUUGGGUGGCAAAAGGGUUUUUGUAGUCGGCAAAACGACCGAUGGACCUGAGGACUUCGUCUGUGAUGAUUGAGACUCCAGGAAGCCCAGGAACUCGGGCGGCUGAAGGAUGAAUCUCGGGAGCACCAAAGUAUUGGCCGAGCUCGAGUUGGGUCUGAGGAGAGAGGUCUCUGAAGAAGGAAUUGUGUGUUGGCGACAACUCGUGGCCUUGCGUAUAAAACGAAUGAUGAGAUAUUACUUACUGGUCUCGGAAAAAUACCACAGUGCGCUCAGCGAUCAGGAGAGCAAGCUCAUCCUUCUGCUGGUCACUAAGCUGGUUAAGUUGAAGACCAACUAUCCUAUGACAAGUGUCAGUGACAAAGCCAAAGAUAGAAUGUAGAUCAAACCAUACUCGGUACCAAGCCCUGACUCCCGGGUCCUUGUGCUCCCAUUCCUGAUUGAUAGACGUUAGUUCGUUAAGUUGCAGUUGGUAUCCUUUCCCAAAAAAAACCCACUUCUUUGCGAAUGCCGCUAGUCAAUGCCGGCUUGAACCAAGCGCUCUAGAGAGAAUUAAGUAUCAUUAAAUAUCUCGGUCAGCGAGAAGCCCAUCUAACGGAAUAUUACGACCAACCUCGAGUACUCUUGGCAAGAGAGAAAGGUCUGCCUAGGGUGUCUUUGUUUGCGUUGUCGUUGACGGCGAUAGGCAUCUUGCAGAAAUGUUAUUCGGGUAAUUGGUAGGGUCAAUAUGUCACUAAUACUGAUAGUUGUAUUCCUCCAUCUCCCGACUUGCCAUUAUAUAUGCAUCUAGCACAGCGGAUCGCUUCGCCCGAAUCGAACCUGAAAUAGACUUGCUUGCUCAGCAAAGACCAA
Molecule: small RNA, 1502 nt
Filed under: Cryptococcus neoformans H99
Lineage: Eukaryota; Fungi; Basidiomycota; Tremellomycetes; Tremellales; Cryptococcaceae
Description: Cryptococcus neoformans var. grubii H99 hypothetical RNA
Source: RNAcentral